AGAAUCAACGCUGGCGGCGUGCCUAACACAUGCAAGUCGCACGAGAAAGGGGAGCAAUCCCCUGAGUAAAGUGGCGCACGGGUGAGUAACACGUGAAUAAUCUACCUCCGAGUGGGGAAUAACUGAGAGAAAUCUUAGCUAAUACCGCAUAACACUUACGAGUCAAAGCAGCAAUGCGCUUGGAGAGGAGUUCGCGGCCGAUUAGUUAGUUGGCGGGGUAAUGGCCCACCAAGACGAUGAUCGGUAUCCGGCCUGAGAGGGCGCACGGACACACUGGAACUGAAACACGGUCCAGACUCCUACGGGAGGCAGCAGUGGGGAAUUUUGCGCAAUGGGGGAAACCCUGACGCAGCAACGCCGCGUGGAGGAUGAAGCCCUUGGGUGUAAACUCCUUUCGAUCGGGAAGAUAAUGACGGUACCGAUAUAAGAAGCCCCGGCUAACUUCGUGCUAGCAGCCGC
RNAcentral lists this ribosomal RNA (459 nucleotides) under uncultured bacterium. RNAcentral's name for it is "SSU rRNA". It matches the Rfam family "Bacterial small subunit ribosomal RNA", at positions 26 to 518 of the family's 1533-position model. The record is from RNAcentral.